RNAcentral lists this ribosomal RNA (123 nucleotides) under Prionogonus divergens. RNAcentral's name for it is "partial 12S ribosomal RNA". The record is from RNAcentral. Lineage: Eukaryota; Metazoa; Arthropoda; Diplopoda; Polydesmida; Xystodesmidae.
AGUAAUUAUUUUAUAGUAUUAAUAAAUGAAGGGUGGAAUAACAUGUGUACAUAUUGCCCGUCGCUCUCGUUAUUUUUGAGAUAAGUCGUAACAUAGUUGAUGAACUGGAAAGUGUAUCUUUUU